Molecule: ribosomal RNA, 2213 nt
Filed under: Triticum aestivum (bread wheat)
Lineage: Eukaryota; Viridiplantae; Streptophyta; Magnoliopsida; Poales; Poaceae
Description: partial small subunit ribosomal RNA
Source: RNAcentral
CAGCCGGUUUCCUUCUCCGAGCCGCCCUCGUCCGUCCGUCCGUCCGUGCCCAGGCCGACCUCCCCUCCCCUUCCCUCCUCCGCUCUAUAUAACGCCACGCCCCACCUUCCUCCCAAGCCACGCAACACAGAUCAAUUCUGCCUUCUCCAGCCACCGCCCGCCGGAAGAAAGAAAGCAUCUUUGCUUCUCGCCGCCGCCGGUGAGGGAGGGAGGAAGGAAGGAGGCAGGGGAUCCCAUUGGGUGUUGCCGGUUUGGAGCCAGGGUGAUGAGCUGCCUCACGUUCCGCCGCUCCGCCGCCGACGCAAGCCGCCUCCAGGACGGCCUCCUCGUCUUCAUGUUCUUCAUCUCGAUUCCCAUACGUAGUCUGAAUACUUCGUCUUCUUCUUCUCGUCGGGCGACGGUCGCGCCGGCGGCCAUGGAUCCCAACAGCUUCAAAACCGGAGGCCUUCUGCUUCCAACCAUUGAGAGGCGGUGCGCUUCGCCUCCAUCUGUGAUCGUGAUCGGCGGCGGAAUCUCAGGGAUUGCCGCGGCUCGUGUCCUCUCCAAUUCCUCUUUUGAGGUGACUGUCCUUGAGUCGAGAGAUCGAAUCGGCGGCCGUGUUCACACGGAUUACUCCUUUGGAUGCCCCAUUGACAUGGGAGCCUCAUGGUUGCACGGUGUCAGUAAUGAGAAUUCUUUAGCACCACUGAUAAGCCAUCUUGGGCUGAGAUUAUACCACACUAGUGGUGACAACUCUGUUUUGUAUGACCAUGAUUUGGAAAGCUGUUCGCUCUUUGAUAAGAACGGCCUUGCAGUCCCAAUGGAGACGGCUGCUAAAGUUGGCGUGAUAUUUGAGAAAAUUCUCAAGGAGACGGUGAAACUCCGUGAUGAGCAGGAGCACGACAUGCCCCUUGAACAGGCAAUCUCGAUGGUGCUUGAGAGGCACCCUGAUCUCAAGCUGGAAGGGCUAGAUGAUCGAAUCCUGCAAUGGUGCGUCUGCCGGCUGGAGGCAUGGUUUGCUGCAGAUGCAGAUGAAAUAUCUCUGAAGAACUGGGAUCAGGAACAUGUUCUCACUGGUGGCCAUGGCCUGAUGGUUGAUGGAUACUUUCCUGUAAUUCAGGCUCUCGCUCAAGGUCUCGACAUCCGUCUGAAUCAGAGAGUGAAGAAAAUUGCACGCCAGCAGAAGGGAGUGACCGUCACCAUCGAAGACGGCACGCAAUACUCUGCCGACGCCUGCAUAAUCACUGUGCCGCUCGGUGUGCUGAAGGCGAACAUAAUCAAGUUCGAGCCUGAGCUGCCCUCCUGGAAGAGCUCCGCCAUCGCGGACCUCGGCGUCGGCAUAGAAAACAAGGUCGCCAUGCACUUCGACAAGGCCUUCUGGCCUAAUGUCCAGGUGCUGGGCAUGGUCGGCCCUACGCCGAAGACCUGCGGCUACUUCCUGAACCUCCACAAGGCCACUGGCCACCCGGUGCUCGUCUUCAUGGCAGCCGGUCGGUUCGCCCAGGAUGUGGAGAAGCUCUCAGACAAGGAGGCCGUGGAACUCGUCAUGUGUCACCUGAGGAAGAUGAUACCCGACGCCACUGAACCCAGUCAGUACCUGGUAUCGCGGUGGGGCUCGGACCCGAACUCGCUGGGGUCCUACUCGUGCGACCUGGUGGGGAAGCCGUCGGACGUGUGCGAGAGGUUCUCGGCGCCGGUGGAGAGCGUGCUGUACUUCGCUGGAGAGGCGGCCAGCGCGGAGCACUCGGGAGCUGUGCACGGCGCAUACUCGUCAGGCAUGGACGCCGCUGAGGAAUGCCGGAGGAGGCUGCUGAUGAGGAAGGGCGUUCCGGACCUCGUCCAGGUCGGCGCCGCCGCCUGCGAAGAGAUGGCCGACGUCGUCGCCCCUCUCCAGAUUUGCCGCACCUAGAGAUGAUUCUUCGAUACAGCUGCGUUCUGCCAUGCCCGAUUGGUCUGAUGAUUGACAGAAGCCGAUCAAUGUGCAGUCGAUCAGUCCGAGUCGGCAGAACGCAAGAUUGAAUUCAGAUUUCCUUUUUUUUCACAUCUUCUAUUUUCUCGUGUUGCUUUGGAUCAAGGAACAUUUGAUCGAUGCCUGUGCUGCUGUGCACUGUGGACACUUGAUUUAUAGCGUUACCAAUUUGUUAUGUCCGAUCAAUCAAUAAAUUUUAGACAAGUGACAUUUGGGUACUGAGUCUUGUACGUAUGAUUUUUUUCAUUCUGGACAUGAAUCCUGU